Xyrauchen texanus (razorback sucker) is the source of this 426-nucleotide long non-coding RNA. RefSeq lists it as uncharacterized. The transcript is spliced from 3 exons. Lineage: Eukaryota; Metazoa; Chordata; Actinopteri; Cypriniformes; Catostomidae. The record is from RefSeq and is a predicted model, not a curated record.
GCAAGUGUGCAUUUAAGAGGGGGAUAUUUCUCUCGCGCGAGCGCGCACUGUGGCUGUCAAUUAUCUAACCCGGUUUGCCUUCUUUAAACAAUGCCUCUGGAAUGUGGUAUCACUGAAGACCAUCUGUGUCUCGGCUGCCUGCAACAACUGGACUGGACUGCGCACGUGCACACUGUGCCUGGAGUACCAUAACAAAAGGGAAAAAUGUCACUGACACAAAUAACCAAUCCUCUUUAGCUCUUUCUCCUCUUCAGCUCAUCACACUUUCUCAGUUUGCAGAUCUGGUGGCCAACCUUUCUGUUCAGGCAGUUGCUGCAGGCUCCAUCAGUUCCUGGUCCUCCAUUUGUGGCAAGGAGAAGAGGCCUGCUUGCUCAUGCUCAGACCUGAUGUAGUUUUCCACAGGGGACACCACCUUUGCAAUCCUGG